UACAGAGGGGGCAAGCGUUGUUCGGAAUUACUGGGCGUAAAGGGCGCGUAGGCGGCCUGUUAAGUCGAACGUGAAAUCCCCGGGCUCAACCCGGGAACUGCGUCCGAUACUGGCAGGCUUGAAUUCGGGAGAGGGAUGUGGAAUUCCAGGUGUAGCGGUGAAAUGCGUAGAUAUCUGGAGGAACACCGGUGGCGAAGGCGGCAUCCCGGACCGAUAUUGACGCUGAUGCGCGAAAGCCAGGGGAGCAAACGGG
Molecule: ribosomal RNA, 253 nt
Filed under: uncultured bacterium
Lineage: Bacteria
Description: partial 16S ribosomal RNA
Rfam family: Bacterial small subunit ribosomal RNA
Source: RNAcentral